CCGUGCCCAAGAGAUCGGGAUAACACCUGGAAACAGAUGCUAAUACCGGAUAACAACAGAUGAUGCCUAUCAACUGUUUAAAAGAUGGUUCUGCUAUCACUCUUGGAUGGACCUGCGGUGCAUUAGCUAGUUGGUAGGGUAACGGCCUACCAAGGCGAUGAUGCAUAGCCGAGUUGAGAGACUGAUCGGCCACAUUGGGACUGAGACACGGCCCAAACUCCUACGGGAGGCAGCAGGA
This 238-nucleotide ribosomal RNA is filed under the name uncultured Lactobacillus sp. RNAcentral's name for it is "partial 16S ribosomal RNA". It matches the Rfam family "Bacterial small subunit ribosomal RNA", at positions 125 to 354 of the family's 1533-position model. The record is from RNAcentral. Lineage: Bacteria; Bacillati; Bacillota; Bacilli; Lactobacillales; Lactobacillaceae.